UACAGAGGGUGCGAGCGUUAAUCGGAAUUACUGGGCGUAAAGCGUGCGUAGACGGCUAUCUAAGUCGGGUGUGAAAGCCCCGGGCUCAACCUGGGAAUUGCAUUCGAGACUGAAUAGCUAGGGUACGGUAGAGGGAAGUGGAAUUGCUGGUGUAGCGGUGAAAUGCGUAGAUAUCAGCAGGAACACCCGUGGCGAAGGCGGCUUCCUGGAUCACCCCUGACGCUGAGACGCGAAAGCGUGGGGAGCGAACGGG
Molecule: ribosomal RNA, 253 nt
Filed under: uncultured bacterium
Lineage: Bacteria
Description: partial 16S ribosomal RNA
Rfam family: Bacterial small subunit ribosomal RNA
Source: RNAcentral